RNAcentral lists this long non-coding RNA (666 nucleotides) under Brassica napus (rape). RNAcentral's name for it is "long non-coding RNA (BNAP_LNC009731)". The record is from RNAcentral. Lineage: Eukaryota; Viridiplantae; Streptophyta; Magnoliopsida; Brassicales; Brassicaceae.
UUUGAGAUAAUUGAAAAAAAUAAUAACGCCAAUUUUAAUGAUGCUAACGCCACUAACUAAACCCUAAAUUUUAAAUCUAUACCCUAAACACUAAACCCUAAACUCUAAACCCAAAUCCUAAACCCAAAUCCUAAAACCAAAUCCUAAAUCCUAAACCCUAAACCCAAAUCCUAAACCCUAAACCCAAACCGUAAACCCUAAACCCAAACCCUAUAUCCUAAACCCAAGCCAUAGACUCUAAACUCAAACCAUAUAUCCAAACGUAAUCCCUACACCCUAAACUCAAAUCGUAAACCCUGAACCCAAAUCUUAUAUCAUAAAGGUUUGGGUUAAUGUUGAUAUUGUUUCUUUCAGGUUUAAGAUUUGGGUUUAGAGUCUAGGUUUGGGUUUAGGAUCUAGGUUUGGGUUUAAGGUCUAGGGUUUGGGUUUAGAGUUUACGGUUUGGGUUUAGGGUUUGGGAUUUAGGUUUAAGAUAUAGGGUUUGAGUUUAGGGUUUAGAGUUUGGGUUUUGAAUUUAGGUUUUAGGGUUUAGAUUUAAGGUUUAGGGUUUAAAAUUUAAUAUUUAGGGCUUAGUUAGUGGCGUUAGGGUUAUUAAAAUGAGCGUCGUUAUUUUUUUCACUUAUUUUUGAUUUUUUUUUUUAAAAAUAAUGUAUUUUAUUAUUAAUC